CCUACGGGAGGCAGCAGUGGGGAAUCUUGCGCAAUGGGCGAAAGCCUGACGCAGCCAUGCCGCGUGAAUGAUGAAGGUCUUAGGAUUGUAAAAUUCUUUCAGUAGGGACGAUAAUGACGGUACCUACAGAAGAAGCCCCGGCUAACUUCGUGCCAGCAGCCGCGGUAAUACGAAGGGGGCUAGCGUUGCUCGGAAUUACUGGGCGUAAAGGGAGCGUAGGCGGGUUAUCAAGUUGGAGGUGAAAGCCCAGGGCUCAACCUUGGAAUAGCCUUCAAAACUGAUAACCUAGAGGAUGGAAGAGGUAAGUGGAACUCCGAGUGUAGAGGUGAAAUUCGUAGAUAUUCGGAAGAACACCAGUGGCGAAGGCGACUUACUGGUCCAUUACUGACGCUGAGGCUCGAAAGCGUGGGGAGCAAACAGGAUUAGAUACCCUGGUAGUCCACGCUGUAAACGAUGAUUGCUAGUUGUCGGCAGNAUGCUGUCGGUGACGCAGCUACGCAUAAGACAUCCGCCGUCGGGAGGUACGGUCGCGAGAAGUUAAACGUAACGAAAGUAAGUUAGUACGGUUCGUUGUAGACGUUGCCGACGGACGACGACGAGGGAGGAGG
RNAcentral lists this ribosomal RNA (608 nucleotides) under uncultured bacterium. Its description in RNAcentral is "bacterial SSU rRNA". The stretch from base 1 to 513 matches the Rfam family "Bacterial small subunit ribosomal RNA", at positions 338 to 873 of the family's 1533-position model. The record is from RNAcentral.